Molecule: non-coding RNA, 125 nt
Filed under: Paramoeba aestuarina
Lineage: Eukaryota; Discosea; Flabellinia; Dactylopodida; Paramoebidae
Source: RNAcentral
AGAGAAAGAAAGAAAAAGAGAAUCGGAGAAAGAGAAGAAAAAAAUGGACAGGGGAAUCUUUUUUCCUUCUCCUUCUCCGGCUCCUUCUCCUUCCCCUAUAACUGAUCCUUUUUGUGAUUAUUAUU